RNAcentral lists this unclassified non-coding RNA (357 nucleotides) under Melitaea cinxia (Glanville fritillary). RNAcentral describes it as "misc RNA ENSMCXG00005022505.1". The record is from RNAcentral. Lineage: Eukaryota; Metazoa; Arthropoda; Insecta; Lepidoptera; Nymphalidae.
CCUCUCCGAGCCGGCGUCUCCUCCCACGAGACCGAUUCUUGGCACCCGCCACUCUCACCGGAGUAGCUGAAAGACAUUUAUCUUAAAAUACGAACGUCUAGAGAGGCGGUUAUUCAGUCGUUGAAUGAGUAACAGCGUCGACAUCAAACGAAAAUGUUUUAUUGCAGACUUUAUAUUGUAAUGGAACUAAAUUAACAGCAAUUAAGCCUUUAUGUGUUCUUGAUAUAGUCUGCCUUAAUUUUGUAGUACUUUUAAUGUAAUAAAUGUCGACAAGAUGUUAAUUAAUGUAUUGCGUCUGUUACUCUAAGAUAAAACAGACUGCUUCCGAUGUAAAAAUUAUAAAAAUCAUUGGAAUAU